GACGAACGCUGGCGGCGUGCCUAAUACAUGCAAGUAGAACGCUGAAGGAGGAGCUUGCUUCUCUGGAUGAGUUGCGAACGGGUGAGUAACGCGUAGGUAACCUGCCUGGUAGCGGGGGAUAACUAUUGGAAACGAUAGCUAAUACCGCAUAAUAGCAGUUAUUGCAUGAUAACUGUUUGAAAGGUGCAAUUGCACCACUACCAGAUGGACCUGCGUUGUAUUAGCUAGUUGGUGGGGUAACGGCUCACCAAGGCGACGAUACAUAGCCGACCUGAGAGGGUGAUCCGCCACACUGGGACUGAGACACGGCCCAGACUCCUACGGGAGGCAGCAGUAGGGAAUCUUCGGCAAUGGACGGAAGUCUGACCGAGCAACGCCGCGUGAGUGAAGAAGGUUUUCGGAUCGUAAAGCUCUGUUGUAAGAGAAGAACGAGUGUGAGAGUGGAAAGUUCACACUGUGACGGUAUCUUACCAGAAAGGGACGGCUAACUACGUG
Molecule: ribosomal RNA, 495 nt
Filed under: uncultured bacterium
Lineage: Bacteria
Description: partial 16S ribosomal RNA
Rfam family: Bacterial small subunit ribosomal RNA
Source: RNAcentral